Non-coding RNA from Anguilla anguilla (European eel), 507 nucleotides. Lineage: Eukaryota; Metazoa; Chordata; Actinopteri; Anguilliformes; Anguillidae. The record is from the annotation of a RefSeq genome assembly.
AUGGGGUCAAACUUUUUACUGCUGGUGAUGCUGGGACUCUUUGCUCAGGAAUCAAAGGCAGAUAUAGUUCUGACUCAGGAUCCAGCAGCUCAGUCUGUUCAGCUGGGAGACACUGUCUCUAUCAGCUGUACAGUCAGUCAGAGCGUUUUCGUUGGCAACAACCUCUACUGGUACCAGCAGAAACCUGGUCAGGCUCCUAAACUUCUGAUUUAUUUUGCCACAAGUCGCCAGUCUGGGAUUCCUGAUCGUUUCAGUGGGAGUGGAUCUGGGACUCAGUUCACACUGAAAAUCACUGGAGUCCAGGCUGAAGAUGCAGGAGAUUAUUACUGUCAGAGUUUUCACUACAUCAACAGUAAAGAUAUAUUCACACAGUGAUACAGAGCCGUACAAAAACCUCCCUCAGUCAGACUGCACAGAGACUGCACUGCUGCAGCUGGGACCUACUGCAGGUGCUGAGGGGGGAGCUACUCACCCGAGACAUUGAGGGGCUUUGCUUGAAAACAUUGA